GAAAUGCGAUAAGUAAUGUGAAUUGCAGAACCACGAAUCUUUGAACGCACCUUGCGCCUUUUGGUAUUCCGAAAGGCAUGCCUGUUUGAGUGUCAUGAAAUCUCAAUCCCCCCGGGUUUUCUGAACCCGAGGUGGACUUGGACAUGGGUGUCUGCCGUCUCGUACGGCUCGCCUUAAAUGACUCAGUGGGAUCUUCAGCAUCCGUGGCAGACGUAAUAAGUUUCGUCUCGUCCCUUGCUGUGAGGACCGCUCAUAACCUGCCAUCGCGCACCACUUUUGACUCUGACCUCAAAUCAGGUAGGACUACCCGCUGAACUUAA
RNAcentral lists this unclassified non-coding RNA (320 nucleotides) under uncultured Tremellaceae. Its description in RNAcentral is "sequence contains ITS1". The stretch from base 1 to 95 matches the Rfam family "5.8S ribosomal RNA", at positions 50 to 154 of the family's 154-position model. Lineage: Eukaryota; Fungi; Basidiomycota; Tremellomycetes; Tremellales; Tremellaceae. The record is from RNAcentral.